RNAcentral lists this transfer RNA (82 nucleotides) under Lentinula guzmanii. RNAcentral's name for it is "tRNA-Pro". It matches the Rfam family "tRNA". From Rfam's summary of the family: Transfer RNA (tRNA) molecules are approximately 80 nucleotides in length. Lineage: Eukaryota; Fungi; Basidiomycota; Agaricomycetes; Agaricales; Omphalotaceae. The record is from RNAcentral.
GGCCUGAUGGUCUAGGAGUAUGAUUCGUUGUUAGGGCUAAAGACUUUCGACGAGGUCCCGGGUUCAAUUCCCGGUCAGGCCC